AUACGUAGGGGGCAAGCGUUAUCCGGAUUUACUGGGUGUAAAGGGAGCGUAGACGGAAUGGCAAGUCUGAUGUGAAAGGCCGGGGCUCAACCCCGGGCCGGCAUUGGAAACUGCCAGGCAAGAGUGCAGGAGGGGUAACCGGAAUUCCUAGGGUAGCGGUGAAAUGGGUAGAUAUUAGGAGGAACACCGGGGGCGAAGGCGGCUUACGGGACUGUAACUGACGUUGGGGCUCGAAAGCGUGGGGAGCAAAAAGGAGUAGAUACCCUGGUAGUCCACGCUGUAAACGAUGAAUACUAGGUGUUGGGUUCCAAUAGGGAUUCGGUGCCGCAGCUAACGCAAUAAGUAUUCCACCUGGGGAGUACGUUCGCAAGAAUGAAACUCAAAGGAAUUGACGGGG
This 397-nucleotide ribosomal RNA is filed under the name uncultured bacterium. Its description in RNAcentral is "partial 16S ribosomal RNA". It matches the Rfam family "Bacterial small subunit ribosomal RNA", at positions 523 to 918 of the family's 1533-position model. The record is from RNAcentral.